GCCUACGGCCACAUCACCCUAAAAGUGCUCAGUCUUGUCUCAUUUCGGAAGCUAUCUGGGGCUGGGCCUGGUUAGUAUAUGGAUAGGAGACUGCCUGGGAAUAUCAGGUGUCGUAGGCU
RNAcentral lists this ribosomal RNA (119 nucleotides) under Xenopus laevis (African clawed frog). Lineage: Eukaryota; Metazoa; Chordata; Amphibia; Anura; Pipidae. The record is from RNAcentral.